CCUACGGGUGGCAGCAGUCGAGAAUCAUUCACAAUGGGGGAAACCCUGAUGGUGCGACGCCGCGUGGGGGAAUGAAGGUCUUCGGAUUGUAAACCCCUGUCAUGUGGGAGCAAAUUAAAAAGAUAGUACCACAAGAGGAAGAGACUGCUAACUCUGUGCCAGCAGCCGCGGUAAUACAGAGGUGUCAAGCGUUGUGCGGAAUCACUGGGCGUAAAGCGUGCGUAGGCUGUUUCGUAAGUCGUGUGUGAAAGGCGCGGGCUCAACCCGCGGACGGAACAUGAUACUGCGAGACUAGAGUAAGGGAGGGGGAACCGGAAUUCUAGGUGUAGCAGUGAAAUGCGUAGAUAUCGAGAGGAACACUCGUGGCGAAGGCGAGUUCCUGGACAUUAACUGACGCUGAGGCACGAAGGCCAGGGGAGCGAAAGGGAUUAGAUACCCGGGUAGUC
Molecule: ribosomal RNA, 446 nt
Filed under: uncultured bacterium
Lineage: Bacteria
Description: partial 16S ribosomal RNA
Rfam family: Bacterial small subunit ribosomal RNA
Source: RNAcentral